UGGGGAAUAUUGGACAAUGGACCAAAAGUCUGAUCCAGCAAUUCUGUGUGCACGAUGAAGGUCUUCGGAUUGUAAAGUGCUUUCAGUUGGGAAGAAGAAAGUGACGGUACCAACAGAAGAAGCGACGGCUAAAUACGUGCCAGCAGCCGCGGUAAUACGUAUGUCGCAAGCGUUAUCCGGAUUUAUUGGGCGUAAAGCGCGUCUAGGCGGAAAAGAAAGUCUGAUGUGAAAAUGCGGGGCUCAACUCCGUAUUGCGUUGGAAACUGCUUUUCUAGAGUACUGGAGAGGUGGGCGGAACUACAAGUGUAGAGGUGAAAUUCGUAGAUAUUUGUAGGAAUGCCGAUGGAGAAGUCAGCUCACUGGACAGAUACUGACGCUGAAGCGCGAAAGCGUGGGGAGCAAAC
Molecule: ribosomal RNA, 404 nt
Filed under: uncultured Cetobacterium sp.
Lineage: Bacteria; Fusobacteriati; Fusobacteriota; Fusobacteriia; Fusobacteriales; Fusobacteriaceae
Description: bacterial SSU rRNA
Rfam family: Bacterial small subunit ribosomal RNA
Source: RNAcentral